This is a long non-coding RNA of Poecilia latipinna (sailfin molly), 288 nucleotides long. RefSeq lists it as uncharacterized. The transcript is spliced from 2 exons. The record is from RefSeq and is a predicted model, not a curated record. Lineage: Eukaryota; Metazoa; Chordata; Actinopteri; Cyprinodontiformes; Poeciliidae.
AUCGACUGAUGGAAGAAGGAAGGAGGAAGAAAAGAUGGAGAGUUCUUCCCGAUGAAGAAUUGGACGUUUGGCCGAGUCGGAGCGAGGUCCCUGUGACGUUGAGCCCCUGGAUUGCAGAGCGGGAAACCCUGCGGCAGAAACACUUUGGGGAAAAUGGCCGCCGAUGCUGGGUAGAGAAAUGUCGGAAAACUCUGAGCUACCGUUUGAAACUCAGACAGGAAACUCUUCCUGAAGCUUUAGUGAAGCUCCAAAAGCAGUUUUUACUAAUACAAGCUUUUCCACACUGCG